Molecule: unclassified non-coding RNA, 234 nt
Filed under: Hevea brasiliensis (rubber tree)
Lineage: Eukaryota; Viridiplantae; Streptophyta; Magnoliopsida; Malpighiales; Euphorbiaceae
Source: RNAcentral
GGGGCGACUUCCUCGAUGACGGUGUCAUCGCUCGUUCGAUUCCGCUUCGCGGUCUGCAAAAUUGAGAAACCCAAACCCAUUUCCGAUUCUUUCUAAUUCUAUCGAAAAUCUCUCUCUUUCUUCUCUUUCUCUGCGUUUCGUUUUUGUUCAACUUUGAUUUGACUAUUUGAUUAUUUGUUUGGUUGUGGGAUUUGAAAUGCGAGAAUUCAAUUAUGGGAACACCGCAAUUCCCUG